AUUCUAGUUUAUAACUGAAAAAUGUACAGCGCUGUAGUGCAUGCAUUUUGAUAUAACAUUUGAUAUAAAUUCGCUUUUUAUUAUACUAAAAUAAAAUUAAAGUGGAGUUUUAAGCAUUUAUACUUGGUGUAUGCUCCCCAUGUGCACUUUAAUAGAAUAUUAGAAUAAUUGGGAUAACUAUUAACAGGCCUACUUUAUGAUAUGAUAUGAUAUGCACGUAACGAUUUUUCAUAAAUGGCAAUAGCGUGAAUACAUGCAUUCACGUGCAGUAAUUGUGCCCGCAUAUUUAAGAGUCUUAAGCGCGUGUUUCCUCCAUGCACUAACCUCUCCUGUGUUAAUCAGGUGCCUGUGUGAGCUGCUCCAUUAUGAUUGCACUGUGAAAGGAGGUUGAUGCUAUCUUUGGUUAUCUAGCUGUAUGAGUGUUUCUAUGCCGUCAUAAAGCUAGAUAACCGAAAGUAGGAACGGCCUCCUCUGCUGCAGGACAGCAGCACACGCGCACGUGCCCGGUGGAGCCCCUGUAAGAACACAGCUCCUCCCUGAUGCAGCGUCUCUGUGAGAGACCGGAGGACCAUUCACUGGAACAAAACCAUCUGAACCAAGUUGAUGAUACCCUGCUUCGCUGUGCAGUUCCAUUGUUCCUGACCCAACGUCUUCCAUCAGUUCCAUCCGUUCCACACCUUCCAUCAAUUUGACCUGAAUGAAGAUGACUGGAUUGGCCACCACAACCUGCUCAAACCUAUUGGACGAUCAAAUGAACUGAACUGCAGUGCAAGUACUAUUAGAGGAAUGACAUAAGACGAAUUUGAGCAAAUCUUGGUACUUGAACCUAAUGACAAUCUAUAUAAAAACAUAUGCAUGCUUCAAGCUGCAUAUCGUUGUUCUACAAAGGCCAGGUGCGUUCAGACUGCAGAGCCCCGACCGACGAGAAUGUGCCUUAAUGUGUGAACUGUUUACAAUGAAAGAGUAGUGUGCGGCUAUUAAUAGAGUAGACGAUACUGUACAGUGAGUGCUAAUGAACGUGUGAGUCAUUUCUGUUCCGCUUCUGUUUUAAAUGUGCUUUUAAUGUCUCUCUGUGACUAAAUGAACUGUACGUCCUCCCAUGAUGAACAUUAUAUCCAUUAAAACUUGUCUUUCCUGUGAGGGAUCUCAAGUCAUACAGGAAAUGGUGCUCUUUGCUUAAUAAUCAGGAUAUUACUCGUAUUACUCUGGCACGUGUUAAAUACCCAAAUGAGGAGCUGAAAUCUCAUUCUCUGUGUGUUAAACAGCAAUGUAUGAAAUGGAAUCAAUAAAGGUGUGCAAUAUGAAAGUGACCUUUAAGAG
Molecule: long non-coding RNA, 1320 nt
Filed under: Astyanax mexicanus (Mexican tetra)
Lineage: Eukaryota; Metazoa; Chordata; Actinopteri; Characiformes; Acestrorhamphidae
Description: lncRNA (ENSAMXG00005018649.1)
Rfam family: mir-9/mir-79 microRNA precursor family (bases 388-465)
Source: RNAcentral